This 100-nucleotide signal recognition particle RNA is filed under the name Propionimicrobium sp. BV2F7. RNAcentral describes it as "Bacterial signal recognition particle RNA". It matches the Rfam family "Bacterial small signal recognition particle RNA". Rfam says of the family: The signal recognition particle (SRP) is a universally conserved ribonucleoprotein involved in the co-translational targeting of proteins to membranes. Archaeal SRP consists of a 7S RNA and homologues of the eukaryotic SRP19 and SRP54 proteins. The record is from RNAcentral. Lineage: Bacteria; Bacillati; Actinomycetota; Actinomycetes; Propionibacteriales; Propionibacteriaceae.
CAAGGUUCUCCGCGCGGCGGAAUCUCGCCCAACUCCCCCAGGGUCGGAAGGCAGCAAGGGUAAGUGAGCUCUACCGGGUGCGCGGGGAACCCCUUUUUAU